GAUGAACGCUAGCGGCAGGCUUAAUACAUGCAAGUCGAGGGGGCAGCAAUGUCACCGGCGAACGGGUGCGUAACGCGUAUGCAACCUACCUACAUCAGGGGGAUAGCCCUAGGAAACUGGGAUUAACACCGCAUAAUAUAAGCUACGGCCUCGUAACUUAUUGAAAUAUUUAUAGGAUGUAGCUGGGCAUGCGUAGGAUUAGCUAGUUGGUAAGGUAACGGCUUACCAAGGCUACGAUACUUAGGGGCUCUGAGAGUAGUAUCCCCCACAUUGGCAAGGAGAUACGGGCCAGACUCCGACGGGAGGCAGCAGUAGGGAAUAUUGGGCAAUGGAGGCAACUCUGACCCAGCCAUGCCGCGUGCAGGAAGACGGUCCUCUGGAUUGUAAACUGCUUUUGAAUGGGAAGAAUGUGCUUCUUGAGAGGAGUAAUGACGGUACCAUUAGAAUAAGCCACGGCUAACUACGUGCCAGCCGCCGCAGUAA
RNAcentral lists this ribosomal RNA (483 nucleotides) under uncultured bacterium. RNAcentral's name for it is "partial 16S ribosomal RNA". It matches the Rfam family "Bacterial small subunit ribosomal RNA", at positions 28 to 523 of the family's 1533-position model. The record is from RNAcentral.